UCGUAACGACUCUGAAUCCAUUCAGCAUCAGUCAACUUGGGACUUUGAGGGUGCUAUUUUUCUUUUGUUUCUUUCUUUCCUUUUUCUUUCUUUUGAUUUUUGAUUUUUUUUUUUUUGAUUUCUUUUGAUUUUGCACCCUCCUCUUUCUUUUUUUUUUCCUUUUUUUUUAAAUGCCCCAGUUGGCUGUUCUGCUGAUUCUCGAGAUGCAGCUGAGUGAUCUUCUUUUCUUGCUCAAGAAGUCGGGAAAUCUC
This 251-nucleotide long non-coding RNA is filed under the name Lathyrus oleraceus (garden pea). Its description in RNAcentral is "Pisum sativum (pea) long non-coding RNA (PSAT_LNC007944)". Lineage: Eukaryota; Viridiplantae; Streptophyta; Magnoliopsida; Fabales; Fabaceae. The record is from RNAcentral.